RNAcentral lists this ribosomal RNA (66 nucleotides) under uncultured bacterium. RNAcentral describes it as "partial 16S ribosomal RNA". The record is from RNAcentral.
UGGGCUUGACAUCCUAGGAAUUCACUGGAAACAGUAAAGUGCCUUCAUUAGAAGGAGCCUAGAGAC